Molecule: unclassified non-coding RNA, 183 nt
Filed under: uncultured Agaricomycetes
Lineage: Eukaryota; Fungi; Basidiomycota; Agaricomycetes
Description: sequence contains ITS2
Source: RNAcentral
GAAAACCCAUCGCGUCGCGGAUUGUCAUGAUCUGCGGGGCGGAUUUGGACGCUGCCGUAGUUGGCUCGUCUCGAAAUGCAUUAGCCAGUCCGAGGACGCGCGCCAUUGGUGUGAUAAUUCACUUUGCGCCGCUGGUGUGUCUGACGAAGGCUCAUAAUCGCCCGCAAGGGCAACACUUUAAUG